CAGUGGGUUAACUGCCUUGUUCAGGGGAACAGUGGGUUAACUGCCUUGUUCAGGGGAACAGUGGGUUAACUGCCUUGUUCAGGGGAACAGUGGGUUAACUGCCUUGUUCAGGGGCAGAACGGCAGAUUUUUACCUUGUCGGCUCGGGGAUUCGAUCUUGAAACCUUUCGGUUACUAGGCCAACGCUCUAACCACUAGGCCAACGCUCUAACCACUAGGCCAACGCUCUAACCACUAGGCCAACGCUCUAACCACUAGGCCAACGCUCUAACCACUAGGCCAACGCUCUAACCACUAGGCCCUUCUGAAGUGAUAGAAACUUCUGACAUAGAAUCAACACUGUGUGGGGAAUUAAUUUUUAUCCCGGUGUGUGAUUUUAGUGUCAUGUCAGAUAAAACGGUCUGACAUAGGAACCAACCGACCCACUACUAGGGACAAUGAUGAAUACUGGGUGUGUUUGUAUGUAGGUUGAAUGUGUUUGCAGUGUGCGUGUGUAAUCGGUGUGUGUUAUCAGUGUGUGUAUGUGUUAUCAGUGUGUGUGUGUAAUCGGUGUGUGUUAUCAGUGUGUGUAUGUACUCUGCUCCAUGCUGGGUAGUAAUUUCAGUGUGUGUGCAGUGAGUUGACAUCUUUGAGUUCAGAGUCAACAGUCUAACAGCCACAUCACUAGCAUCUGAGAGUGUCCAGAGAUCUCCCUCCCUCCCUGGUUAUUAAAUACCAGAGUUCAGCUUUAGGUCCAAUCAAACGACCCUCGAGGAAAUAUCAGCUUAACCAAAGUCAUGGGACCUCUCUCACACACACACACACCUACACACACACACAGUUUGUAUAACUAACCUUGUGGGGACUAACAAAAUGGCCCCUAGUUUGUCACGUUUGUUUGUUUGCUAUUGUUGUGGGUCACUUCUGGUCCUCACAAGUAUAGAGUUAAACACAUCCACUCACUCACACACAGCCCCGUCCACUGGCUUUGUGUUUGGUGUUCUGUCCCUCUGGGCAGACAUCACUUCAACCUCUACUUUUGAUUUAC
Oncorhynchus tshawytscha (Chinook salmon) is the source of this 1026-nucleotide long non-coding RNA. The record is from Ensembl. Lineage: Eukaryota; Metazoa; Chordata; Actinopteri; Salmoniformes; Salmonidae.